Molecule: ribosomal RNA, 497 nt
Filed under: uncultured bacterium
Lineage: Bacteria
Description: partial 16S ribosomal RNA
Rfam family: Bacterial small subunit ribosomal RNA
Source: RNAcentral
GAUGAACGCUGGCGGCGUGCCUAAUACAUGCAAGUCGAGCGAACAGACGAGGAGCUUGCUCCUCUGACGUUAGCGGCGGACGGGUGAGUAACACGUGGAUAACCUACCUAUAAGACUGGGAUAACUUCGGGAAACCGGAGCUAAUACCGGAUAAUAUAUUGAACCGCAUGGUUCAAUAGUGAAAGACGGUUUUGCUGUCACUUAUAGAUGGAUACGCGCCGCAUUAGCUAGUUGGUAAGGUAACGGCUUACCAAGGCAACGAGGCGUAGCCGACCUGAGAGGGUGAUCGGCCACACUAGAACUGAGACACGGUCCAGACUCCUACGGGAGGCAGCAGUAGGGAAUCUUCCGCAAUGGGCGAAAGCCUGACGGAGCAACGCCGCGUGAGUGAUGAAGGUCUUCGGAUCGUAAAACUCUGUUAUUAGGGAAGAACAAAUGUGUAAGUAACUAUGCACGUCUUGACGGUACCUAAUCAGAAAGUCACGGCUAACUACGUG